RNAcentral lists this ribosomal RNA (1396 nucleotides) under metagenome. RNAcentral's name for it is "bacterial SSU rRNA". It matches the Rfam family "Bacterial small subunit ribosomal RNA". The record is from RNAcentral.
UGAGUAAUAUAUCGGAACGUACCAUUCAGUGGGGGAUAACGUAGCGAAAGUUACGCUAAUACCGCAUAUUCUGUGAGCAGGAAAGCAGGGGAUCGCAAGACCUUGCGCUGAUUGAGCGGCCGAUAUCAGAUUAGCUUGUUGGUGAGGUAAAAGCUCACCAAGGCGACGAUCUGUAGCGGGUCUGAGAGGAUGAUCCGCCACACUGGAACUGAGACACGGUCCAGACUCCUACGGGAGGCAGCAGUGGGGAAUUUUGGACAAUGGGGGCAACCCUGAUCCAGCCAUGCCGCGUGAGUGAAGAAGGCCUUCGGGUUGUAAAGCUCUUUCAGCCGGGAAGAAAACGCAUGGGUUAAUACCCUGUGUGGAUGACGGUACCGGAAUAAGAAGCACCGGCUAACUACGUGCCAGCAGCCGCGGUAAUACGUAGGGUGCGAGCGUUAAUCGGAAUUACUGGGCGUAAAGCGUGCGCAGGCGGUUUUGUAAGACAGGCGUGAAAUCCCCGGGCUUAACCUGGGAACUGCGUUUGUGACUGCAAGGCCAGAGUACGGCAGAGGGGGGUGGAAUUCCACGUGUAGCAGUGAAAUGCGUAGAGAUGUGGAGGAACACCAAUGGCGAAGGCAGCCCCCUGGGUCGAUACUGACGCUCAUGCACGAAAGCGUGGGUAGCAAACAGGAUUAGAUACCCUGGUAGUCCACGCCCUAAACGAUGUCAACUAGGUGUUGGGAGGGUAAAACCUUUUAGUACCGGAGCUAACGCGUGAAGUUGACCGCCUGGGGAGUACGGCCGCAAGGUUAAAACUCAAAGGAAUUGACGGGGACCCGCACAAGCGGUGGAUGAUGUGGAUUAAUUCGAUGCAACGCGAAAAACCUUACCUACCCUUGACAUGCCAAGAACUUUCCAGAGAUGGAUUGGUGCCCGAAAGGGAACUUGGACACAGGUGCUGCAUGGCUGUCGUCAGCUCGUGUCGUGAGAUGUUGGGUUAAGUCCCGCAACGAGCGCAACCCUUGUCGUUAAUUGCCAUCAUUUAGUUGGGCACUUUAACGAGACUGCCGGUGACAAACCGGAGGAAGGUGGGGAUGACGUCAAGUCCUCAUGGCCCUUAUGGGUAGGGCUUCACACGUCAUACAAUGGUCGGUACAAAGGGUCGCCAAGCCGCGAGGUGGAGCCAAUCCCAGAAAGCCGAUCGUAGUCCGGAUCGCAGUCUGCAACUCGACUGCGUGAAGUCGGAAUCGCUAGUAAUCGUGGAUCAGAAUGUCACGGUGAAUACGUUCCCGGGUCUUGUACACACCGCCCGUCACACCAUGGGAGCGGGUUCCGCCAGAAGUAGGUAGCCUAACCGCAAGGAGGGCGCUUACCACGGCGGGGUUCGUGACUGGGGUGAAGUCGUAACAAGGUA